AGUGAACGCUGGCGGUAGGCCUAACACAUGCAAGUCGAACGGCAGCACAGUAAGAGCUUGCUCUUACGGGUGGCGAGUGGCGGACGGGUGAGGUAUACAUCGGAAUCUACUUUUUCGUGGGGGAUAACGUAGGGAAACUUACGCUAAUACCGCAUACGACCUACGGGUGAAAGCAGGUGAUCUUCGGACUUUGCGCGAUUGAAUGAGCCGAUGUCGGAUUACCUAGUUGGCGGGGUAAAGGCCCACCAAGGCGACGAUCCGUAGCUGGUCUGAGAGGAUGAUGAGCCACACUGGAACUGAGACACGGUCCAAACUCCUACGGGAGGCAGAAGGGGGGAAUAUUGGACAAUGGGCGAAGGCCUGAUCCAGCCAUACCGCGGGGGUGAAGAAGGCCUUCGGGUUUUAAAGCCCUUUUGUUGGGAAAAAAAAGCAGCAGGUUAAUACCCCGAUGUUCUGACGGUACCCAAAGAAUAAGCACCGGCUAACUUCGUG
RNAcentral lists this ribosomal RNA (492 nucleotides) under uncultured bacterium. Its description in RNAcentral is "partial 16S ribosomal RNA". It matches the Rfam family "Bacterial small subunit ribosomal RNA", at positions 29 to 507 of the family's 1533-position model. The record is from RNAcentral.